RNAcentral lists this ribosomal RNA (497 nucleotides) under uncultured bacterium. RNAcentral describes it as "partial 16S ribosomal RNA". It matches the Rfam family "Bacterial small subunit ribosomal RNA", at positions 28 to 507 of the family's 1533-position model. The record is from RNAcentral.
GAUGAACGCUGACGGCGUGCCUAAUACAUGCAAGUCGAGCGAACGGACGAGAAGCUUGCUUCUCUGAUGUUAGCGGCGGACGGGUGAGUAACACGUGGAUAACCUACCUAUAAGACUGGGAUAACUUCGGGAAACCGGAGCUAAUACCGGAUAAUAUUUUGAACCGCAGGGUUCAAAAGUGAAAGACGGUCUUGCUGUCACUUAUAGAUGGAUCCGCGCUGCAUUAGCUAGUUGGUAAGGUAACGGCUUACCAAGGCAACGAUGCAUAGCCGACCUGAGAGGGUGAUCGGCCACACUGGAACUGAGACACGGUCCAGACUCCUACGGGGGGCAGCAGUAGGGAAUCUUCCGCAAUGGGCGAAAGCCUGACGGAGCAACGCCGCGUGAGUGAUGAAGGUCUUCGGAUCGUAAAACUCUGUUAUUAGGGAAGAACAUAUGUGUAAGUAACUGUGCACAUCUUGACGGUACCUAAUCAGAAAGCCACGGCUAACUACGUG